GCCGGGUGGUACGCGGGUGCCGACGUGCACACCUCCUACUACGGGAUGCCGCUGCGGCUCGCGGAGGACGGCCGGCGGUUCGACAUCUCGCCCGCCUGGCAC
This 102-nucleotide transfer RNA is filed under the name Asanoa siamensis. Its description in RNAcentral is "tRNA-Ser". The record is from RNAcentral. Lineage: Bacteria; Bacillati; Actinomycetota; Actinomycetes; Micromonosporales; Micromonosporaceae.